UCUUUUACUUUCUAUUCAUUAAAUUAGAGUAGAUUAAGAACGUAUGCAUUUAUUUAUCAUUAUUCCUUUUAAUUUGAUGUAGGUGUCCUUUUUAAAGAACCGUGUUAAUAUUGCUAGUGGGACACCAAGCAGGAUCAAGAAGUUGAUUGAUAUGGAGGCACUGGGAUUAACACGAUUAGCAGUGAUUGUGCUUGACAUGCAAACUGAUGUUAAGGGUUAUUCCUUAUUCACACUUCCUCAAGUCAGAGAUGAGUUCUGGGACUUGUAUAAAAACUACUUGCACCCAUGACUAGUUCAAGGUGAUCUUCGU
Molecule: non-coding RNA, 310 nt
Organism: Camellia sinensis
Lineage: Eukaryota; Viridiplantae; Streptophyta; Magnoliopsida; Ericales; Theaceae
Source: RefSeq, a predicted model, not a curated record